RNAcentral lists this ribosomal RNA (447 nucleotides) under uncultured bacterium. Its description in RNAcentral is "bacterial SSU rRNA". It matches the Rfam family "Bacterial small subunit ribosomal RNA", at positions 958 to 1398 of the family's 1533-position model. The record is from RNAcentral.
AACGCGAAGAACCUUACCAAGGCUUGACAUCGCCCGGAAACACUCAGAGAUGGGUGCCUCUUCGGACUGGGUGACAGGUGGUGCAUGGCUGUCGUCAGCUCGUGUCGUGAGAUGUUGGGUUAAGUCCCGCAACGAGCGCAACCCUUGUUCCAUGUUGCCAGCAUGCCCUUCGGGGUGGUGGGGACUCAUGGGAGACUGCCGGGGUCAACUCGGAGGAAGGUGGGGAUGACGUCAAGUCAUCAUGCCCCUUAUGUCUUGGGCUGCAAACAUGCUACAAUGGCCGGUACAGAGGGUUGCGAUGCCGUGAGGCGGAGCGAAUCCCUAAAAAGCCGGUCUCAGUUCGGAUUGGGGUCUGCAACUCGACCCCAUGAAGUCGGAGUCGCUAGUAAUCGCAGAUCAGCAACGCUGCGGUGAAUACGUUCCCGGGCCUUGUACACACCGUAGUAC